UUAGUUCCUAAUUUUUCUCAUCUCUCUCUAAAUUAAAAUAAAAUUCAUACACGGUUCGGCAAUUUCUUCUCUCUCAAUCGCACAAUCACAUCAAAAGGGAUCUGAGAACCCUUCCUACAAAUCGCAGAUAAAGCAUGAUCUAAUCGGCCUCUCGCGAUAGCCCUAUCGCAACUCUCAGGUGUUGUUUUUUCACAUAUUCUUUGAUGCCAACAAGUCUUUAAUUUGUUGAUGGUUUUUCAGUGGUUUAUCACUCCGCUUUUAGAUAGAUACAGAUUGAAAUCUAUUUGUUUAUUUUAAUUAUGAUAUUGAGAAUAUACGUUUUCCAUUGAACCAAUUAAGGUUUGGGCUUUCUUUUUAAUUAUUUCUCAAAUUACUUGAUUGUAUAUCUGAUUUGAUAUUUUUUUUUAUUUUUCUUUCACUAACGAAUAUGAAAUCGUGAAAGUAGUUAAUUAUACUUUUCUCUGUUAUUUUUAGUUAUGGUAUUCUUUCAAUAAUUACAUGUAUGUAUGUAAAUAGUUUAGUUAUACAUAUAUAAUUACAUAUGUGUUAAUCGUUAACUUACACAUAUGUAAGUACUUAACUUACAUAUGUUUAAUACUGGGUUACAUACGGAAAUGGUAAUUGUUUCAGUUUUAGUUUACCUAUAUUAUAUCUAUAUUUAGAUUCUAAUUUUACAUAUUAGUUAACAAAAAUUAAAUCUGCAUAUUUAAAUAUCAAAGUUAUUUUUAUUUAUCAAGUAUUUAUUUUGCAUUCAUGACAGGCUUUGAGAGAUUAUCAUGCUUUUGACCAUUUGAGGUGUUUGCUUUGGAAAUACAUCUAAGCUCAAUGGAGAAGAAAGAGACGAGUGAAAAUGCAUGUUUAGGUUGAUAAAUGUAUAUAACGAGUUGACGUUAGUGUAUAUAAUUUUGAACAAUUUUAAUAUGCACACGUGUACACAUUUUUUAUCCAACACAUGAGUGAAACAUCUAUACACAUAUGUGUAAUUGUAGAUUUGAAUUAUGUCUUUGAGCAUUUCCACCCGUUUUUAUUAUACUCACGAUCAAUUUAAAAUUUAAAAUUUGGAUGAUUGUAUAAAGAUUUACAUAUAUGUUAAUAAAUGAUUAUUUUGAAAAUCAAGUAAUCAUUAUCAAGUUUGCAUAUAUGUAAAUAGCAUGUUUACAUAUAUGUAAGUAGUUGUUUAGUUUAAAAAAUGGAUUAGUAGUAUGAAUUUAAUAUGUGCAUAUGGAUGCUCAUCUUUAAACAAAUCGAUUACUAGUUUAGAAAGUUACAUAUAUGUAAAUAUUACAGAUAUGAUGAACACUUUCUUACACAUUUAAAUAGGCCAUGAUUAAUAAGUUUGAUCUUUAUUCAUUUUGAAGGAAACGAGGAACCCUAUAAAAGUUAAGUUAUUUGUAAAUCUUCACAGUUCAAAGAGAUGAGAUGGGAAAGAAGGAAGGGAGAAAGUUAAUUAGAUUUUAAUAUAUUUGUAAAUUUGUACAGUUCA
RNAcentral lists this long non-coding RNA (1483 nucleotides) under Helianthus annuus (common sunflower). Its description in RNAcentral is "hypothetical non coding rna". The record is from RNAcentral. Lineage: Eukaryota; Viridiplantae; Streptophyta; Magnoliopsida; Asterales; Asteraceae.